RNAcentral lists this transfer RNA (83 nucleotides) under Brachybacterium huguangmaarense. RNAcentral describes it as "tRNA-Leu". It matches the Rfam family "tRNA". Rfam says of the family: Transfer RNA (tRNA) molecules are approximately 80 nucleotides in length. Their secondary structure includes four short double-helical elements and three loops (D, anti-codon, and T loops). Further hydrogen bonds mediate the characteristic L-shaped molecular structure. tRNAs have two regions of fundamental functional importance: the anti-codon, which is responsible for specific mRNA codon recognition, and the 3' end, to which the tRNAs corresponding amino acid is attached (by aminoacyl-tRNA synthetases). tRNAs cope with the degeneracy of the genetic code in two manners: having more than one tRNA (with a specific anti-codon) for a particular amino acid; and 'wobble' base-pairing, i.e. permitting non-standard base-pairing at the 3rd anti-codon position. Lineage: Bacteria; Bacillati; Actinomycetota; Actinomycetes; Micrococcales; Dermabacteraceae. The record is from RNAcentral.
GCCGGGUUGGCGGAAUGGUAGACGCGGCGCACUCAAAAUGCGCUGUCCUUCGUGACGUGCGGGUUCGAGUCCCGCACCCGGUA